AAGUUUAUGUCUUAAGCCUCCUCUGU
RNAcentral lists this small RNA (26 nucleotides) under Arabidopsis thaliana (thale cress). RNAcentral's name for it is "ATSL006090". Lineage: Eukaryota; Viridiplantae; Streptophyta; Magnoliopsida; Brassicales; Brassicaceae. The record is from RNAcentral.